UAUUUUUUAAAGCAUUGUUUCAUUUUUGAAUGAAAACGAAAUGACAGUUUCUUGGAAAAAUGACACUGUAGUGACAAUAUUAUGUAAAUCAUUCGGUGAAAGCUAGGCCUAAUGGUAAACUGGAAAUCACUAAUCAGUCGUGGGCCCAGUCUGCAGGCAGACUGGUUAGUACUUGUAAACUGCUUCUUUUGAGUUGGUCUCAUAGACAACCAGAGAUUAAGGCUCUGAGCAUGAAACCACCUCAAGACUGAAAUUAAUGAGAAGUUACAAGCUUAGUUAUCACCUACUGGUAGGUGUGGAAAGUGGUUCUCUCUGCUAAAGUGGCAAACGGAACCGUUAAGCUGACAGAUCUGACUAUGCAAGAUGUAAAGUCAGUCUAGCAACUACUGUAAAACCAUGCCUUUUAGCCACCUGUUUGAACUGGUGAGUUUCUUUAAAUGCUGAUUGGACUUAUUAUAUGUUGUGAGAAUAUACAUGUAGUACAAGCAAAGAACAUAAAUGUACAGUUGUGCACAGUUGCAAGAUGGUAUUCUGCUGUUGCAAGAGGGGACUUGCAAGUUCACACAGAUAUCUUUCUAUACAGGUGGGGGCUCUCGCAAACUAACGUAGAUAAAAGACGUUAUUUUUUGGUAGUUUCUAGAUUGAAUAAACAUCUGUCUGCCGACUUUGGCCAUGGGUUGGCUUAUUCUGAAACACAUGUCCCUAGCAGCAAUAAAACCAGUCAAAUUGUGAAAGUAGAGGAAAUGUAACCCUUUGUUAGAUGUUGGUGCAUUUUAAUUUUAUUGAGUAAGAAGAUGUAAGUAUCACUGAAUGGUACACUAUCCACAGAUUCAGAAGGACUCUCUGAUUAACAAGCCCUUAGUUCUUGUACUUGUAAAUCACUGUUGUUCACAUACUAUUGGGUUUCAGGUUAAAUAUUUCAGAACUUCAUGGUGCACAAAUUUUGUUUCAAGCCAGAACUAGCAAUGGCCUUUGUCAAGAGCUGAAAUCUGUGGACCCCUUCUUCAUGAUGAACAGAUCUGUGUAGAAGUUAGCUGCAAGCAUAGAGGCUGUUUCCUGGAAGAAAGGACUUCCCAUUCAAUCUAUGAUCGGCAUAAGCUUCAGCUGUGAUAUUCCAGAUGAGAAGCUCUCCAGGUAUUCUCCAGAGUCUAGACAGUUAUCAGGUAUGGCUAGGAUGUGUAGCUGAGGAUGUUUCCUGAAGGACUGCUCACCUGACAGUAGGUUACAGAGACAGGCAGCCAGCCAGUAUAGUUGACACUAAUGAUGCGAUAACAAGUGAAGAUAGGAGAGGUUUAUUACAAAGAAUUUUUCAGGAUUUCUGAUCUCUGCCGAUUGAUGUUUGUGGCGAAGUUAUUUGGUAGUUGAUGAGACAAGGUAACAGAAGCAUCACAAGAGAACAAGUUGGUGGGUAUCAUUUCUGUGUGGGGAUGCCUGAUGGAUGAUAGAGGGCUUGCUGCGGGGAUGCUGGGCAUGUUUCCAUUUGGAAGCUGCCAUGAUGGAUAGCCAUUGUCAGCAGUGAGGAAUCAGUGCGUAGCCAUCCAAAUGUCACCUUCCACUGAUGCUAUUAUCUCAUUAUAUGAUCAUCUCCUUCUUCACCUCCCUCCCAGCCUCCCUCCCUUAGAUUGCCUGGGCACCCAGCAUGGGCUCAAGGCCAACCAACCAUCCAAGCCAAUAGAUUAAAAGAUUGUCAUUUGGCGUAAAAUAUGUGCACGAAGCAGGGUCUUCCGUGGGGAACAGUUGGAUUACAGCCGAGGUGGAACCAAUUAGCCGGACCUAGGGCACAGAACACCCUCUAAACUCUUUGAGUUCCUGGACAAAAAUCAAUCAAAACAACAAAACAUGGAGAUGUCUAUUGAAUUGACAAGUAUCUGUUUUUCAGCUUUUGAUAUGUGGUAGUGAAGAGUUAACCUUUAAACUUAAGUGUGAUUUAAUUAAGGCUGUGACCUUGUGACCUGACAUGUGGUACAUUUCACAUACCUGAACCAGCUGAACAACUUGGGAAUUAUCACUGCCCUUAAGAUUUGUUUUUCACCUGGUGCUUUGAUUAACGUACACAUAGACUUUGUGCCAGAUUUGAUUCUCUAAUUGUCACUGUAUUAUUUCAGUGGGUAGAAGGUUGAAUUCCUGGUUGUUGGGUAAGCUUUAAUGUAAAUACACCUUACUAUCAAUACUGGGCUAGAUGAAAGAAUUACAAGUAACAAAAGUAUCACUUGCAGGGCACCUCAUGGCUAAGAAACCAGGAUGCACGGAGUAGAUCAGAGGUCAUGCAAUAAUCCGUCACAUUGUUGUGCUCUGAUAAAAACUGUAGUGUUAAAAAAACAGAAGUGUCAAGUUUAAAGGUGGAGAAAACAUAAAAAUGACAUAAAGUUCAGAUGAAAGAGUGCAAAAAGUUAUUCCUAAAUGUGGUCUUCAAUAUUUUUUCCCAUUUUUCCUUAAGGAGAAAAAGACACUUGAAAAUAAUUUUUGUAUGGUGGGUAUUUGGGACCACCUUUUGGUAUUUAUAGUCUGUUUAAUAAUGUCAUAAAUGAGGAUGUAACACAGAUUUAAAAAAUAUUUUUGCACUAGAAUUUGUUCUUUGCAGCUAACAAAUGUAUUAAACCUCAAUUUGGAUCAUAUUUAUAUUUUUAAUAUGUUCAUAAAUAUUAUUUGUUUGUUUAUUUGAUUGGUGUUCUAUGCCGUACUCAAGAAUAUUUCACUUAUACGAUGGCGGCCAGCAUUAUGGUGGAAGGAAACCGGGCACAGCCUGGGGGAAACCACGACCAUCCACUGGUUGCUGACAGACCUUCCCACGUACGCAUAGAUAUUAUCAUAAUUUAGGUUAAAUGCAUAUGUUUCGAUAUAAACUGCAAAUUUACAUGCAGAUAAAUUUAUUAACCAAGCAUCACAUCCUUAUUUAGAACAUUAUUAUGCAACAACGAUACAUACCAAAAGUUGGUCCCAAAAUCACACGAUACAAAAAUAUUUUCAAAUUCCCUUUUCUCCUGAAAAAAAAAUGCAAGAACAUAUUAAAGAUCAUAUUUGCAAAUAAGUUUUGAUGCUCUUUCAUUUGAUAUUGGCAUCAUUUUUAUGUUUUCUUCUCCUUUAAAUUGAAAUGCAAAGAACCUGUGACCUUGUGAGUCUUCAUACUUGUCAGGUUAACGCCAAGUACACAUCCUAAACACACAUGGUUAAGGGUCAACCUGCAAAGGUUUUUAAACUGAAACACGAGAAACAUGUUGACAACAUUUCUUUGCGAAAAUGGAAACCUUUGCAUUUUACCUUUAAGUACACCUGGUCAAGUACGCUACAUAAGCUUAACCUCACCAAUUCCUCCAAAAACCUAAAUAUGCAGUUAAUUAGUCUGUGUACACACAUAAUUUCUAUAAAAUUAAUUAUAGCAUUGAUAUUCAUGAAUGGAUAAUUUAAUUCUAUGUGUUUGACACUUUUAUUUGGAAUGAUAAUAUUUUUUGUAAUAUUAUAAGAUUGACCUUUUCAUAGUGGUAUGGCUUCUUUUCUACAUGACGUUUUUUAUGCGGGAUGUUGGCUUUAUGAAAUAAUCAAUGAAGCAAACACUAUUUUAAUGAAAUCUACAUGUUAAUAUUGGCUUUAGUGAUAUUGUUAAGAGAUGUGUUUAUAAUUUAUUCCAUUGCAUUCAGCUUGUUUUGUGUACCAUGGAAGUAAUUCAGUACAUGCAUUUCUUUCUUGGUUUUAGUAUCAAAGAAUUUCAGUCCUGAAUAACAAAUGUCUUCAUAAAAAGUAUUUACAGCGACAUGGUAUCUGCAGUCUGUUUAGAUAGAUGCCAUCAGAUUUAAGUUUUCAGGCAUGGAACUUCGCCUGUUUUCGCUUUUCCUGAAAUUUAUGUGAAAUAUAAGACUAAAUAUAUCAUCAAUCAUGAUAAGUGUGAAAUAUUGAUAUAUGCUUCUCUCUGUACUUUUUUUAUUUAUGGCUACUCUAUGUAAGGGCCAUUUUAGGACAGCUAAUGUAUCGUGAUUAACUCUCAUGCUUUCAUUGUCUACAGUUUCAGGUCUGGCCAUGAGCUUUUUACCUGGCUCAUAACUCUACACUACAUACACCUUUAGGCAGGUAGAUUGGCUGAGUGACAGGUUACAUCCUGAAACUGAUUACCUGUGUGCGGAGAACACCUGUAAUUAGCUCAUUAAUAAUGGCUGUUGGCAGGAGGAAAUAAGUCUAUCAGCGUUAAUCGCAGAGACAAUCACCUGUAAUCAAUGAGAUUGGAUAAAGGUGUUUGAAGAAUUGUUUUAAGCCAUGUCAGGUGAAAUCCAAGCCUGUAACUGACACCAGUUUGUGUAGGUAGGUUGAAGGCUUGGCUGAGGUGAGAAUUGAUUAAUUACCAGUGCUGAGUCUAAAGCUGAUCUAGGUAGAUUCUCAUCAGGGGCACUUUCAAGUUUGCCCCAAAACACACCUGCCUGAACUGGCUCAUUUUAAUUAAGGUUUUGUUGCACAAAUCUGGGCGGUAUUAGGGUUUCUUGGCUGCCCUCAGAACGUCCAGGUACAAUAGAAGUGCUCAAAGUCCAGGUGUUGUGAAUGGAGCUGGGUUGUGUUUAGAUUUGUCCUGACAUUGUCAAGGGGUGUAAUAAUGUGGAAUAUAAAACCAAAUAGUCUUCCUGGCUUUCUUGAAGACAUCACCUGCUUCAUUGAACGGCUUUGUUGCUCUGACUAGAGUAGAUUUGUUCUGGCUGCUUAAAUAUGAUUAUAAAGAAUCAAAUAGAGUUUAUCAAAAGACUUGAUUGAGUCAAGAUUAGUCUGUUCAAAGGUGUGAUCUGAACAAUUGUAUGAGAAAAUCCCCAUCAGAUUUUAUGUUUGUGGACUUUUUUUAUUGGAUCACGUGUUUGUUUAAUCUCUGAUCAGUGACAGUAAACCGAAAAAAUGAAA
Long non-coding RNA from Liolophura sinensis, 4872 nucleotides. RefSeq lists it as uncharacterized. The transcript is spliced from 7 exons. The record is from RefSeq and is a predicted model, not a curated record. NCBI's taxonomy places the organism in Eukaryota, Metazoa, Mollusca, Polyplacophora, Chitonida, Chitonidae.